GAUUUGGGGGGAGUGUUCAAAUUUUAUUCAGAGGCCAGUCUUGCAGAUACAGUGCGCCCCAAGAACUCUGUCUUUAACUUAAGUCACUGAUUUCUCUGGAGCUGGACCUUUGAGCCCUGCCUUCUGAGUCUCCCCCCCCCCCCCCCCCCCACCUCCCUGGGUGAAGUCCAUACCUGCGAAAUGAGACAAGGCCCCUUCCCUCACAGAGGCAUUGUGCUGGAGGUAAAUGGUAGGUCGCUCUGUGUCCUCCUUCCCCUUUCCAGAGAGGAGCUCCUAGAA
Long non-coding RNA from Neofelis nebulosa (Clouded leopard), 279 nucleotides. RefSeq lists it as uncharacterized. The transcript is spliced from 2 exons. NCBI's taxonomy places the organism in Eukaryota, Metazoa, Chordata, Mammalia, Carnivora, Felidae. The record is from RefSeq and is a predicted model, not a curated record.